GGGACCAUGGCGCAGCUGGUUAGCGCGCAGGUCUCAUAUCUCCGCAUAUGAUCUGGUUAAACGCCAGAGCCAUCCUGAGGUGAUCCUCACUGGUCCCA
This is a non-coding RNA of Lasiosphaeria ovina, 98 nucleotides long. NCBI's taxonomy places the organism in Eukaryota, Fungi, Ascomycota, Sordariomycetes, Sordariales, Lasiosphaeriaceae. The record is from the annotation of a GenBank genome assembly.